CUGCCUCGUUGGGGCGGCGAACCAGCACCCACUCGUCACACUCCGCCUCAUCCAUGACCCCGACCGGCGACAGGGAGGGCCGCAGGAUCCGCCGUUCACCGGAGAAAAAAGAUCGAAGCUGGGCGCUGAAGAACGCGAUUGAGAGGAGAUAGAGACGGCGGCGGGAUCGCCGCCACGUGAACGGACGGAUGGGGCCGGCUACGAUCGCCGCCGGAUCCGGUUGCAGAAGCAGCCGGCACGCUCUCCACCGUGCAGCAGUCCUCCUUGUCUUGUCCGCCUCUUGUCGACGACCGGAGUCAGGUCUCCUCUUAUCGGCCUCCGCUUUCACGUAGGAGAACGCCGGUCUUCGGAUGCUUUCGCAUAUACUUUUCUUUUGGGAUAAAUUUGCUUAAAUAAUGUUUCCACAGAGUUUAUGUGAAAUUUAGUGGGGCCCCA
This 435-nucleotide long non-coding RNA is filed under the name Spirodela polyrhiza (greater duckweed). Its description in RNAcentral is "long non-coding RNA (SPOL_LNC001298)". The record is from RNAcentral. Lineage: Eukaryota; Viridiplantae; Streptophyta; Magnoliopsida; Alismatales; Araceae.